UAAUACGUAGGGUGCAAGCGUUAAUCGGAAUUACUGGGCGUAAAGCGUGCGCAGGCGGUUUCGUAAGUCUGUCGUGAAAUCCCCGGGCUUAACCUGGGAAUGGCGAUGGAGACUGCGAGGCUAGAGUUUGGCAGAGGGGGGUAGAAUUCCACGUGUAGCAGUGAAAUGCGUAGAGAUGUGGAGGAACACCGAUGGCGAAGGCAGCCCCCUGGGUCAAAACUGACGCUCAUGCACGAAAGCGUGGGGAGCAAACAGGAUUAGAUACCCUGGUAGUCCACGCCCUAAACGAUGUCUACUAGUUGUUGGGUCUUAAUUGACUUAGUAACGCAGCUAACGCGUGAAGUAGACCGCCUGGGGAGUACGGUCGCAAGAUUAAAACUCAAAUGAAUUGACGG
RNAcentral lists this ribosomal RNA (395 nucleotides) under bacterium enrichment culture. RNAcentral's name for it is "bacterial SSU rRNA". It matches the Rfam family "Bacterial small subunit ribosomal RNA", at positions 521 to 916 of the family's 1533-position model. The record is from RNAcentral.